RNAcentral lists this long non-coding RNA (1038 nucleotides) under Sus scrofa (pig). RNAcentral's name for it is "lncRNA (ENSSSCG00065051832.1)". Lineage: Eukaryota; Metazoa; Chordata; Mammalia; Artiodactyla; Suidae. The record is from RNAcentral.
GAGACCCCCGGGUGGGAAAGGCCGGGUCUGAAUUAUUCUGCGGUCCCACUGGACUCGUCUUCACGACUUUUACCGACUGAAGGCUCCUUGAGGGUCUUACUCUGUCUCAGAGGUUUAGAGCAGAACUUGGCACAGGGUAGUAUAUUGCUUUAACAUUCAUUGCACAGACAAUUUUAAGGAAACGUAUGAUGAUUUCUUGGCCUGUUGACCUAGUCACAAAAUAGCAAAAAAAAAAAAUCAGGAAUCCAGCUUGCACAAGUGAUACGGCUUCUGUUUUCCAGUCAGGUGGGGGACACACCUCCCAGUUCUGAAUAUAAUCGAGUGAAGAAUGAAGAGAAACAACCAUCAGAUGCAGCUAGAGAUUCUCAUGCUAAGUGAAGUACGCUGACGUCCUAGUUGCUGGUACUUGUGAAACCUGUGUCCUAUGCAAGCUUGCAUCUGCAUCUUCCAUCUACACCCCAGCUUGCGGCAACGCGGGAUCCUUAACGCACGGAGGGAAGCCAGGGAUCGAACCUGAAUCCUCAUGGAUACUAGUUGGGUUCUUAACCCACUGAGCUGCAACAGGAACUCCAACUGCCCACUCUUUUUGGAAAGCAGAGGGAGACAGCUGUUCCUCAUUCUUUCACGCACUUUCACGUUAUCAGUAUUCAGCCAACAAUUUCCUCCUGAGAAGGAACAGAACAAGUCUGUACAGCCAUUCCUGCAAACAUAGUGAGAACGUCAGCGCGAAGACGGCGGCCGUGUUGGGUCAUGGCGCCCUCUGGUGGCCACUGUGGAAAAGAUCAGGACAUCACCGGGACCCAGCGAGAGCCUGGAGGACGGAGGUCGGAGCACAACGCAGAGGCCCCUGGUGUGAGGCGCGGGAUCUUGCCGUAGGACAGUACCUGUCUGGCAGGCUGUGGUCUGGAAGCCGGCAGAGGACAGGCCUGUGAGGGACAUUCUCUUUCCUGUCAGCCCCGCUGCUUCGAGGUGAUGCCCACGGAGCCCGCAGGGAGAGGCCUCCGCUGCUCUCCUUUCCCAUAAAAGGCAGCCCCUGGG